Lolium perenne is the source of this 866-nucleotide non-coding RNA. The record is from RefSeq and is a predicted model, not a curated record. NCBI's taxonomy places the organism in Eukaryota, Viridiplantae, Streptophyta, Magnoliopsida, Poales, Poaceae.
GCUGAGUCCGCUUCGGAGUUUCGAUCGGGCUCUGAAACGGGUUAAACUUAGUUAGGUGGCUUCCUGGACAUUGUUGUAGUGAAGGAGAGUGCGUGUCGUGAUAUCCACCUGUCGUAAGUGGGUUGAGCGUGCGUGUGGGCACAUUUGGGCACCCCUGCAGGGUUACAAUCUUAUCGAUAAGCCGCGUCCGCGGUUAUGGACGACUUGGAGCUGUAUGAAUUGACCAUAGACAACUUACACCUGUUGUUUCAAUCAUAAUAACUUGUGUAGUAAGUUAGCACAACUUCAAUAAUAAAUGGUUAAAAGUUGACAACCGUGUGGGUGCCUUUGUAAGUACUUCUUUGCGAAGGGGGAAAGUAUCGGCUGUGUUAUGUUUGCAGAGUAUAGAACUGUUAGUUUUUGCGCUCUCUCAUCUCCUCUGUUUAGACGAAUGUUGUAGAGUGUCUCUAUAGGUUUUUAGUGCUUGCGCGCUGCCGCUUAACCCCACCAUAUUGCCUAUGACGUUCCUCUUGCGUCCUGUAAGUCCCCUGCGUGCCUCAAGUACAAAGGACGACUGGUUGACGAAUGCUUAUACGUCUUGAAGUCUUGUUAAGUACGAACCCGUACUUAUUGCUGCUUCUACGGGAUAUAACCGGGCAGGUAUGAAGAUAUGUUCGAUGAAGACGACGUUAGCAAGGUUACCCUUCCGGCUUGGCCUGGGCAGGGUUAUGGACGCCAUUGGUUAUCUUCAGGACUCUUAGUCCAAUUUGUAUCUUGUCCGUACUCGGAUGUAUUCGCUCUUCUGUAUGAUUUGGAUCUUUGUAUUGUAUAUUUGUAUCUUGCCUCGUUGGAGUCGUUGUUGUAAUAUAUGUAUCUUGUGGGCUCUA